This 1475-nucleotide ribosomal RNA is filed under the name uncultured bacterium. RNAcentral describes it as "bacterial SSU rRNA". It matches the Rfam family "Bacterial small subunit ribosomal RNA". The record is from RNAcentral.
AGAGUUUGAUCAUGGCUCAGAGUGAACGCUGGCGGCGUGCCUAACACAUGCAAGUCGAACGAGAACGGGUUAAAGUUUACUUUAACUGUCAGCUAAGUGGCGCACGGGUGAGUAAUAUAUAGUUAAUCUGCCCCAAAGAAGAGAAUAAUUGUUGGAAACGACUUGUAACUCUCUAUAUGCCUUUAUCACAUAAGUGAGCAAGGGAAACAUUUAUGGCUUUGGGAUGAGACUGUACGGUAUCAGUUAGUUGGUAAGGUAAUGGCUUACCAAGACAAUGACGCCUAACUGGUUUGAGAGGAUGAUCAGUCACACUGGAACUGAGACACGGUCCAGACUCCUACGGGAGGCAGCAGUGGGGAAUAUUGCACAAUGGAGGAAACUCUGAUGCAGCAACGCCGCGUGGAGGAUGACACAUUUCGGUGCGUAAACUCCUUUUAUAUGAGAAGAUAAUGACGGUAUCAUAUGAAUAAGCACCGGCUAACUCCGUGCCAGCAGCCGCGGUAAUACGGGGGGUGCAAGCGUUACUCGGAAUCACUGGGCGUAAAGAGCAUGUAGGCGGAUAGAUAAGUUGGAAGUGAAAUCCUAUGGCUUAACCAUAGAACUGCUUCCAAAACUGUCUAUCUAGAAUAUGGGAGAGGUAGAUGGAAUUUCUGGUGUAGGGGUAAAUCCGUAGAGAUCAGAAGAUACCGAUUGCGAAGCGAUCUACUGGACAUUAUGACGCUCAGAUGCGAAAGCGUGGGGAGCAAACAGGAUUAGAUACCCUGGUAGUCACGCCCUAAACGAUGCACACUAGUUGUUGCCUUGCUAGACAAGGCAGUAAUGCAGUUAACACAGUAAGUGUGCCGCCUGGGGAGUACGGUCGCAAGAUUAAAACUCAAAGGAAUAGACGGGGACCCGCACAAGCGGUGGAGCAUGUGGUUUAAUUCGACGAUACGCGAAGAACCUUACCUGGCCUUGACAUAGAAAGAACUUACUAGAGAUAGUUUGGUGCUAGCUUGCUAGAACUUUCAUACAGGUGCUGCACGGCUGUCGUCAGCUCGUGUCGUGAGAUGUUGGGUUAAGUCCCGCAACGAGCGCAACCCUCGUGUUUAGUUACUAACAGUUCGGCUGAGGACUCUAGACAGACUGCCUACGCAAGUAGGAGGAAGGUGAGGACGACGUCAAGUCAUCAUGGCCCUUACGGCCAGGGCUACACACGUGCUACAAUGGGGCAUACAAAGAGCCGCAAUACCGUGAGGUGGAGCAAAUCUCAUAAAAUGCCUCCCAGUUCGGAUUGUAGUCUGCAACUCGACUACAUGAAGUUGGAAUCGCUAGUAAUCGUAGAUCAGCUAUGCUACGGUGAAUACGUUCCCGGGUCUUGUACUCACCGCCCGUCACACCAUGGGAGUUGAUUUCAUUCGAAGCGGGGAUGCUAAAAUAGCUACCUUCCACAGUGGAAUUAGCGACUAGGGUGAAGUCGUAACAAGGUAACCGUA